Molecule: ribosomal RNA, 157 nt
Filed under: Garcinia mangostana
Lineage: Eukaryota; Viridiplantae; Streptophyta; Magnoliopsida; Malpighiales; Clusiaceae
Description: 5.8S ribosomal RNA
Rfam family: 5.8S ribosomal RNA
About the family: 5.8S ribosomal RNA (5.8S rRNA) is a component of the large subunit of the eukaryotic ribosome. It is transcribed by RNA polymerase I as part of the 45S precursor that also contains 18S and 28S rRNA.
Source: RNAcentral
CAAAACGACUCUCGGCAACGGAUAUCUCGGCUCUUGCAUCGAUGAAGAACGUAGCGAAAUGCGAUACGUGGUGUGAAUUGCAGAAUCCCGUGAACCAUCGAGUUCUUGAACGCAAGUUGCGCCCAAAGCCUUUUGGUUGAGGGCACGUCUGCCUGGG